Molecule: ribosomal RNA, 468 nt
Filed under: uncultured bacterium
Lineage: Bacteria
Description: partial 16S ribosomal RNA
Rfam family: Bacterial small subunit ribosomal RNA
Source: RNAcentral
GACGAACGCUGGCGGCGUGCUUAACACAUGCAAGUCGAACGGAAAGGCCCUGCUUUUGUGGGGUGCUCGAGUGGCGAACGGGUGAGUAACACGUGAGUAUCCUGCCCUUGACUUUGGGAUAACUUCAGGAAACUGGGGCUAAUACCGGAUAGGAUCUCCUGCUGCAUGGUGUGGGUUGGAAAGUUUCGGCGGUUGGGGCUGGACUCGCGGCUUAUCAGCUUGUUGGUGGGGUAGUGGCUUACCAAGGCUUUGACGGGUAGCCGGCCUGAGAGGGUGACCGGCCACAUUGGGACUGAGAGACGGCCCAGACUCCUACGGGAGGCAGCAGUGGGGAAUAUUGCACAAUGGGCGGAAGCCUGAUGCAGCAACGCCGCGUGCGGGAUGACGGCCUUCGGGUUGUAAACCGCUUUCGCCUGUGACGAAGCGUGAGUGACGGUAAUGGGUAAAGAAGCACCGGCUAACUACGUG